AUCUUUAUAAUUAGUUCCAAUUAAACGGUUUGAUUCAAGAAUUCGAGAGAGAGGAUUGGAAGCGGACAUUUUGUUCUGCAGAGAGUAAAGAAUCAAGUUAGAUUUUUGUAUUUGUUUUGAAAAAUUGUUUUAGGGAUUUUAAAAACAAUAAAUUUAGCCUCCCAUUAUUUUCUCGAGUCUCUAACAUUCCUCGGGUAGAGAAACGAAAACCCAACGCGACAAAAGGUUUCAAGUGGGUACUGCGGUCCCACCAAUUUAACGUACCACCUCACCUAACAGUUAUUGGUGAUAUGCAAACCGAUGAGUGGACAACUCUUGUCCAAUGCUUCUCAAGCAAAUUGCAGUGAUCGGUCUCUAAGUCCUGUAGGCCUCACCUGACAGUUAUUGGCCCCAUUCCUUAGUUAAGUCAGACCCACCGUUCAAACGCGUAAGCAAACCCGUCAUUGGGUCCCUCACCUGACAGUUAUUGGGCCCAACCCUAUCUUUACUCCGCAGCAUCUCAUGCUAAUAGAGUGGUUGCGCCUUCCCGAUGCAACUGACCACUGUAACCAGCCGUGCUAAUCAACACCCGAAAAACGCCCACACUUCUACAACGGCGGAAGACCGCUCGACUUAAUAUUUAUGAGGAGGUUAAUAUUUAGGUCUCAAAAAUUAUUUUAUUUAUUUCUAUCUAAUGCAAAUAAAAAAUCAAUCCGCGCAAAUAAAUAUAAUUAAACUGGUGAUGAUCAUGGAUCUAAGAAGUGGAUUCGGACUCGAGCCACUGAGUCGAAAUCGGGGUCUUAGGGUCAUAAAUUACAAGCACACACACGUCAUCGGUUUGAUCAUCUUCUACUUCUUGAUCCGAUCUGGAGCUUCAACUUGAUUUGAUCCUUAUCAACACCUUGAUCCGACCGCCAUCAAGUAUUCGUCUCUAUUCGGGCCGUGCGAACUUUUAGGCUUGCAACCGAUCAACAAAUGACGUGCAACCAUACAUUAUACAACCCAACAAUAAAAAUGAAAUGAAAAUUAAUUACAUUUGAUAACUUUUAUCUCUAACCUAUUGAGACACGCAGGUCUCCAAAUAAAUCGGCUUGUGCACGCAGGCACAAAUAUAGCCAUCUCUAAUACAAAGUCCUUAAUUUAAACAAAUUUAAAAUUACAGGAUUCUGCAUACACAUCAUACAUCACAUGUCGAAAUAUAAAUAGGUCGCUAUCCAUGAUCAUCACCGAUAUAUAUCUCAUACAUCACAUACAUAAAAAUUUUGGGUAUUCUAAUUAACCGUUAACCGAUAAUUCGAAAAAUAAUAGUGACUAAAUCACUAAUAACAAUCAAUCUUAUUGAUCUUUAUAAUUUUGAUCAAAAAUUUAAUCUUCCAAAACAAUUUGAUCUCAUCAAGAUUUAAAUUUGAUCUAAUCAAAUUAGAUCCUCUUCUUUUAGUUAAAUAAAAAUUUUAAAAAAAAAUUUGAUUUCCGUACGAAUGCUACAGUAGCGUCCGUACGGACUGCUACAGUAAAAUCCGUACGGUUUUUUUAUUUUUUAUUUUUUAUUUUUUAAAUUGUUGCUUGAAAACAAGAAACCGUUCGAUUAAAUUGUUGAUCACUUUGAUUUUUUCGAAUUAGCCAAAAACGAUCGAUAAAUCGUUCUACCGGUGGAAAAACGGUUUAGAAUACCCAAAUUUAUAAUUUUAAUCUUAAAAACAUGAGGAUGUCUCUGAUACCACUGUUAGAAAAUUGCGUACGGUAAAACGCAGCGAAAAAGAAAUCAAACAAAUUUGAUUUUGAAAACUCUCGAGAUCUAAUCUCAAAACCACGCAAUUAGGAUCCCUCAUGUUCUUUAAGAUUAAAGGAGAAAAGUAAGAUCGAAUCAUUACCUUUUUCGCGGAUAAAUCCUUCCCUCAAUUUGAUGAUCGUGGAAUCGGGUUCUCUUGAAGCCGCAC
RNAcentral lists this long non-coding RNA (1916 nucleotides) under Ananas comosus (pineapple). RNAcentral describes it as "long non-coding RNA (ACOM_LNC042104)". Lineage: Eukaryota; Viridiplantae; Streptophyta; Magnoliopsida; Poales; Bromeliaceae. The record is from RNAcentral.